This 102-nucleotide small RNA is filed under the name Marmota monax (woodchuck). Lineage: Eukaryota; Metazoa; Chordata; Mammalia; Rodentia; Sciuridae. The record is from RNAcentral.
GCCAGGCAAGAUGGCACAUGCCUGUAAUCCCAGCAGCCGGGAGGCUGAGGCAGGAGGAUGGCAAGUUUGAGGCCAGCUUUAGCAACUUAGACCCUGUCUCAA